AUAUUUACUAUAACAUCAAAUGUGGUAACAUUAACAUGUAUUUGCUCUCACACAAGUUCCAACUUGUCUAACUUUCAUUACUUGAAGAGACAUCAUACAAUUCUAUACAGAGGUAUAAAAGCUGAACACAGCAGAAUUGACACAUUCAAAUUGUGGUGCUGGAGAAGACUUCUGAGAGUCCCUUGGAUGGCAAGGAGGUCAAGACAGUUAAUACGUAAAGAAAUUAAUACAGGCUGAUUACUGGAACGUUAAAUACUGAAACUGAAGCUUAAAUACUUUGGCUACAAAAUGAGAAGAUGAGAUUCAUUGGAAAAGACUCAUGUUGGGAAAGAUUGAAGGUGAAAGGAAAAGGGAAUGGCAGAGGAUGAGAUGGAGGUGAAUGGUGUCAUAGAAACAAUGAACAUGAACUUGUCUGGACUUUGAGAGAUAGUGGAGGAUAGAAGGAUCUGGUGUGCUAUAGUCCAUGGGGGUCAUGAAGAGAUAGACAGGAUUGGAUAAUAAGAGACAAAGAAGCUUGGGGAUAUUAAAGCAGUAUGCAGUUACUAGAGACAUCAUACCAAGAAUCCCUAUUGGUUUGGAGAAGAGAUGGUCAGUAACAAAUGAGUCAAGAACCAAUUUCAGCACUCAAAAUGUAUACCAGCAGACAAGUACUGGGCUCUGCAUGUUAAUUUUAAGAACAAUCCUGGGAGGGUAGAAUGGCAAGGUGAUCACAGAAAGCUUACCAGCAGAAGUUUCCACCUGGUAUUCAGGUCUUCCAGACUAUUGA
Long non-coding RNA from Antechinus flavipes (yellow-footed antechinus), 766 nucleotides. RefSeq lists it as uncharacterized. The record is from RefSeq and is a predicted model, not a curated record. NCBI's taxonomy places the organism in Eukaryota, Metazoa, Chordata, Mammalia, Dasyuromorphia, Dasyuridae. The transcript is spliced from 4 exons.